GCUUGUGACUUCGACCUGAAGUUUACUUUCAUCUCAUUACACUAUCGCAGAAUGUAAUGUUUGCUUGUGACUUCGACCUGAAGUUUACUUUCAUCUCAUCUGGUUGGGAAGGAUCCGCAUCAGAUGCAGGGGUGUUGCGGUCUGCUCUUGGCAAGGGGUUUACUAUGCCGGAUGGUAAAUUCUAUCUUGUAGACGGUGGAUAUGCAAACACACCAUCAUUCCUUGCUCCCUACCGAGGAGUUAAGUAUCAUCUCAGUGAGUUUAGGAGACGUGGCCAGAGGAGAAAGGCAUAUGCCAACUACAAGGAAUUAUUCAAUCAUCGGCAUGCGAUUCUUCGAAAUCACAUUGAGAGGGCCUUUAGGGUUCUCAAAAAGCGGUUUCCAAUUCUGAAAGUGGGGACACAUUACCCAAUUGAAUCCCAAGUUAAGAUUCCAGCAGCUGCUGCUGUGUUUCACAACAUCAUUAGAGGGUUGAAUGGGAGUGAAGAGUGGUUUGACUACCUACCUGAUAAUAUCAACCCAUCAGAUUAUGUCGACUUGCCAGAGGGAGACACUAACUACCCAAGUGAGAUGGAAUCAAACCAUGGAAAUAUCCUACGAGACCAGAUAGCCCAUCAGAUGUGGGCUGCUUACAAUGUGUAGGAUAGUAGUGUUAGGAAUAUAAUUUAUGAGUUCUAAGUUAUGUAUUUAUGUAAUACAUUCUGUGAUGCAACAGUCUAUAAUAAGUUCUCCAAUACAUUCUAUAAUAUUUAUUGCAACAAU
This 761-nucleotide long non-coding RNA is filed under the name Sorghum bicolor (sorghum). Its description in RNAcentral is "long non-coding RNA (SBIC_LNC003736)". The record is from RNAcentral. Lineage: Eukaryota; Viridiplantae; Streptophyta; Magnoliopsida; Poales; Poaceae.